GAUGAACGCUGGCGGCGUGCCUAAUACAUGCAAGUCGAGCGAACGGACGAGAAGCUUGCUUCUCUGAUGUUAGCGGCGGACGGGUGAGUAACACGUGGAUAACCUACCUAUAAGACUGGGAUAACUUCGGGAAACCGGAGCUAAUACCGUAUAAUAUUUUGAACCGCAUGGUUCAAAAGUGAAAGACGGUCUUGCUGUCACUUAUAGAUGGAUCCGCGCUGCAUUAGCUAGUUGGUAAGGUAACGGCUUACCAAGGCAACGAUGCAUAGCCGACCUGAGAGGGGGAUAGGCCACACUGGAACUGAGACACGGUCAAGACUACUACGGGAGGCAGCAGUAGGGAAUCUUCCGCAAUGGGCGAAAGCAUGACGGAGCAACGCCGCGUGAGUGAUGAAGGUCUUCGGAGCGUAAAACUCUGUUAUUAGGGAAGAACAGAUGUGGAAGUAACUGUGCACAGCUUGACGGUACCUAAUCAGAAAGCCACGGCUAACUACGUG
Molecule: ribosomal RNA, 497 nt
Filed under: uncultured bacterium
Lineage: Bacteria
Description: partial 16S ribosomal RNA
Rfam family: Bacterial small subunit ribosomal RNA
Source: RNAcentral